Long non-coding RNA from Chelonia mydas (Green sea turtle), 1970 nucleotides. RefSeq lists it as uncharacterized. The record is from RefSeq and is a predicted model, not a curated record. The transcript has 4 exons. NCBI's taxonomy places the organism in Eukaryota, Metazoa, Chordata, Testudines, Cheloniidae.
CUCCUGUAAGUAUUUUACUUUCAGAUUCCAAGUGACUAUUUAUUUUUACAGUGUGAGGCAAACACAACAGUAUGAAACGUCAUUGGGAGCUGUGUUUUCUGUUGAUUCUACUAGAGAAGAAGAGAGUCUGUAAUCAUGGAGAAUAGACCCAGGAGUGUAACUGGCUCUGAGUCCUCAGAGACAGUGAAGCCUCAAGCACCAGCUGGUAUCACAUCGCCGAGGCCUGUGGCUGAGGAACCUUUGGAAGAUGCCGACAGAGCUGCUUCACAGAUGUUAUCAACCAGAGGACCAUGGGACUCAGUAACAGCGGCCACCGAUGAAAAGGCCUUGGAGACGAUACACAUGGAACGAAAUAACCUGGUCAAAUUACUUCAAAACAAUGCUGGUAAGGUCUUGGACGAGUUGUUCUUCCAGUUGGUGAUCACACAGCAGGACUACCGUCGAAUCAACAAAGGAAAGGAUGCAGAGGACAAAAUAAGAAUAUUGUUGGAUGUGAUCCAGCGGAAGGGGGAACUGACCUGUAAGCAAUUUCUGGAGAGUUUACAAAGCCUGUUUCCUGAUUUCCAACAGCACAUACAAUACUCAGGACAGGGUAAGUGGUGUCAGUGUGUCUGGUUUUAAAAAAUCAUUUUUCCACACUAAGAGUGUAAUUGCUGCAACACUGAACGGGGGGAUUUGUUCCCAACUCGAUUCCUACUUAGUAGAUUCAAAUGCUGCCUCCACCUCUUGGACAUAAGGGUUUCCUGGAGAGAGAGGUGGUGCUCUUCCGCUAUGGAAGGAGAAUGGGGUGAGGAUUCCAGGGCCUGUGCGGAUCUAUGCAUCUCUAGUGCUGCAUAUAGAGUUCAUCUAUAUAUAGAGUAAGGGCCCCUGCCUGGCAUUUUGUAGCAAUAUGUGGGAUCCAGGGCAGGGUGGCCGAGACAUAACUAUUUCCUAGAGCUUUUGCAGAUAGACAGUUCUAGCAAGGGCUGGGUUGGGUAUGGGCCUUGUAAUAUCUUUGGGAGUUUUAUUGGUGGUUGAGUUUUGUUGGCGUCUGUGGAGGGAGAUACCACUGAUUGAUUUUGUUUCAUGAAUUUAAUGUUGAGUUUCCAAUUGUCACAUUUUUAACUUGACAUAAAUAAAUCAAUACCUUCAGGCAGCUAAUCCAAGGGGCUUAUAGUGGCAUGGUAGCUCCACUGUACUUAAGGUUGAAACUAGUUUACUGUUUAACAGCUGACAUUUCUUAUAUGCUCAUGUGCGUACUUAGAUUGCCUUGAAAUUUGCUGUGUCUCAUCAGGUCUUGGGGUAGGGUUAGUCCAAAAUUAGGGUCUUUUCAACAAUGGGAUCCUGAGGCACAACCAUCAUAUAUCAACAUUUUCCCGUUCUUCUAAUAUGUUUUGGCACACACCUGGGGCUCUGUUGCAAGCCAAAGUGUCCGUCACCUGAGCUCACAUGUGGAUCAAGGUGAUCUGCUGUGCCAUUGCUCUGGAGCCACACCUGUAAACUGAGACUCUUGAGUACUUUCCACAGAAGCUUUCUGAGAACAUGUGUUGGGAUCAUUAAGUUCUCUGCCUGCUUCACCUGGAAGUUCUGCUUUUGGAUUUUUUGCCAGAAAACAAAGCUUCUGGUGUAAAAGCUGAUCUUUCAAAGUGCUCUUAAAUCCACAGGCACACUCUGAUUGGCUUGAAGAUUCUCAUUUGUGCCAGGGACAGAGUUAGAGGUUCAAGAAUGGGAGUAUUUGGUGAAGGAGUUCCUCAGAUACAUGCACUUCAGUAAGAAGCUGAUUUUAAUAUUUCCAUUGCUCAGAAACGCAUGUCUGAGAUAGAGGUAAUGGUGCAAAUUUGCGGUUCUUAGAAUAAAAUCAUCUGAGAAUAUAACUUGUCCAAGUAUCACCUUUACCCGAGAGUAUGUAACAUCAUCUCCCAUUUCACCUGGCCAGCUCCCCCGCAGUUUACUGAGAACUAUUCUUAUUUGCGCUGUCUCUGCUUUUCAUG